Melopsittacus undulatus (budgerigar) is the source of this 1062-nucleotide long non-coding RNA. RefSeq lists it as uncharacterized. NCBI's taxonomy places the organism in Eukaryota, Metazoa, Chordata, Aves, Psittaciformes, Psittaculidae. The transcript has 3 exons. The record is from RefSeq and is a predicted model, not a curated record.
UCACUGAUUUUUGUUCAGCACUCGCAAGCCUGGGGGAAAGUUUUGGGCUCAAUUAAAGCUUUGGUAGGGGGUAAAUUUAUGUUUUUAAUUGAUUAUUUCUAGGGUUUCGGUGUGCCAGUGAAGAACGUAGCAGAUAUCAUUAAAGCAGCAUAGGAAUAAAAAGGAGGCAAGUGUUUCUUCAGCUAAGAGCAAAGGAUGCAUCUUGGCCAAGCCUGGAAAUAAAGACAGUUCCACAAGCCUUAGAGUCUGUAGCCUGAGAGACUGAGUUGGUGAUCUGCCUCUGACAACAUGCAUAAGAAAACCCAGUCCGUGCUGCAAAAUGCUUUGAACAAUCAGAGGCCCAGUGGUUGCUCCUAAUAAUAUUGGUGAUCUAAACAAUAUUACAGACUUUGUGUGGUAAAGUUUUCAGAUUCUGUGCCUUUACAUCCAGGUAAAAAAUGUAAAAUAUAUUUAUGAAUCAUUAAUAAAUAAAUACUAUGGCAUGAGCCAAAUAAUCGUGAUUAUGAUGACCAUUUAAAAAGCCAGAUCUGUUCAAGUAACAGUUUGGCUUUGUGUCUUGAAUUUUCAGCAAUGCUGAAAAACUUCAUAUACCAUUUGUGUGCUUCACUGAACACCAAAGAGUGUUGAUACAUGUGUAGCAGCUUGGUGAUUAUUCUAUUGAAGCUUCUCAAAUAGCAUUUUCAUUACUGUCUGAGAGCCCCAGAGCGAAUAGCACAAUUAAACCCUGUACGGAACAGAAAGUUAACUUUAAAAGGACCAGACCUGAGCUCCACCCCAAUCUAAGUGCUGUUUGAAACUUGCCCUAAACUCAUAUGUCUGGAAUAAAUAUAGAAAGCUAUUUAAAUGUUAAUCAUUAUUAAAUCAUCAAGCCAAUAGCAGUCGUGUCUCUUAAAAAUAAUUGUCAGCCUAAUUCUUCCCUUCAUUUAAUGUUGCCACACCUGCAAGAGCUAUGCUGUGACUGACAAAGCUUGUAUUUCCACUUGAUUGUUAUGCUUGCUGCUAGACUGGUGAGCCCACAUUGUACAAUGCAGACGUUUUUAUAAUCUAAAUAAAUCUUCCUGC